GAUGAACGCUAGCUACAGGCUUAACACAUGCAAGUCGAGGGGCAUCAGGAAGAAAGCUUGCUUUCUUUGCUGGCGACCGGCGCACGGGUGAGUAACACGUAUCCAACCUGCCGAUGACUCGGAGAUAGCCUUUCGAAAGAAAGAUUAAUACCCGAUGGUAUAUCUGAAAGGCAUCUUUCAGCUAUUAAAGAAUUUCGGUCAUUGAUGGGGAUGCGUUCCAUUAGGUUGUUGGCGGGGUAACGGCCCACCAAGCCAUCGAUGGAUAGGGGUUCUGAGAGGAAGGUCCCCCACAUUGGAACUGAGACACGGUCCAAACUCCUACGGGAGGCAGCAGUGAGGAAUAUUGGUCAAUGGACGAGAGUCUGAACCAGCCAAGUAGCGUGAAGGAUGACUGCCCUAUGGGUUGUAAACUUCUUUUAUACGGGAAUAAAGUUAGGCACGUGUGCCUUUUUGUAUGUACCGUAUGAAUAAGGAUCGGCUAACUCCGUGCCAGCAGCCGCGGUAAUACGGAGGAUCCGAGCGUUAUCCGGAUUUAUUGGGUUUAAAGGGAGCGUAGGCGGAUGCUUAAGUCAGUUGUGAAAGUUUGCGGCUCAACCGUAAAAUUGCAGUUGAUACUGGGUGUCUUGAGUACAGUAGAGGCAGGCGGAAUUCGUGGUGUAGCGGUGAAAUGCUUAGAUAUCACGAAGAACUCCGAUUGCGAAGGCAGCUUGCUGGACUGUAACUGACGCUGAUGCUCGAAAGUGUGGGUAUCAAACAGGAUUAGAUACCCUGGUAGUCCACACAGUAAACGAUGAAUACUCGCUGUUUGCGAUAUACAGUAAGCGGCCAAGCGAAAGCGUUAAGUAUUCCACCUGGGGAGUACGCCGGCAACGGUG
Molecule: ribosomal RNA, 875 nt
Filed under: uncultured bacterium
Lineage: Bacteria
Description: bacterial SSU rRNA
Rfam family: Bacterial small subunit ribosomal RNA
Source: RNAcentral